Long non-coding RNA from Salarias fasciatus (jewelled blenny), 4125 nucleotides. RefSeq lists it as uncharacterized. NCBI's taxonomy places the organism in Eukaryota, Metazoa, Chordata, Actinopteri, Blenniiformes, Blenniidae. The transcript has 2 exons. The record is from RefSeq and is a predicted model, not a curated record.
GCAGACAGCAAAGUGCGCGAGGCUGCAGGUCGGGGUUGCAUGUAAACAGCGGACAUGGCAGCUUUGUAGCAUUAAUACCGAAAUGAAGACAUUUCCAGCAGAGAAAACCCCGAGGAAAAUGGCGUCAACUGUGCUUUGGAAAGAGGGGAAAACGAGAAAAUAGGAUUUGCGGAGCAGAUCCGACGACAGAAUCAAGGUAGCCGCACGGAGGAGGAGGUGGGGGGGUGAAAAAAAAAUCCAGUCGGAAACUUGGCGCUUGUGUCCAAUUCCUGCGAGGAAGGAGAUGAUCGGAGGCUCCUGCGGACAGACGCGUGUGGUCGGGGAGCCGCGGCGGCGCACGGUGUGUCUCCGGAGCCCUGCGGGAUCGGCGGUCAGUGCGCGGAGCCCGGAUCCCUCCAAAUCCGCUACUCGGCUGGUCGGGGAGGAGAAGGAGGAGGAGGAGGAGGAGGAGGAGGAGGGGGAGCAGGACUCUUACUGCAGUCAAAACAAGCCCGCAUCCGACUACAAGCCCAAAUCCAGCGGGGGUGGAGAGAGGGUGGAAGGUGGAGAGGAGGAGGAGGAGGUGGGGGAAGAUUUCAGCGACGAGAGCGCGCGUUGAGCUGUCAGGAGAGCCGAGGCAGGAGGCGCAGGUUCGGGUCGCUUCCAGCCGCCGUCUGCACGCCGGAUCGGGCUUCCCUCUCUGUGUGAACGCGCUCUCUCUCUCCGAUCGGUGAAUGUCAGGUCCCGGAGCCUGGUGUCUGGUAAUGAUCUCACCCAGCAGACUGGAGGCUCUGACCGAGCGCAGCGCGGCGCAGCGGAGCCGGAGAGGAGCGACACCGCCUCCCCCUGGCAGCAGCAGAGCGCAGCUCCCUCUCCCUCCCCGGCCCCCUCCUCCAAAAACCCCCCAGCCUCUCCUGUGGGACCGAUCAGACAGACCCCGUGUGAUUUUAAUGCAAUGCAAAUAGGGAAAAAGCUACAUCUGGCAAAAAGGCUUGAUGUUUAGACGAAGUCACUGCUGUGAAGAGCAGGGUGUUAUGUCCACAACUCUGUCAUUAACUAUUAAUAAGUGAUCAUAAACUAAUGAAAGUAGCAACUUUAAAAUGAAUCAAUAUAAGGACAGUGUAUGUAAUUUUACCCCAGGUAAUCUACUUAAGUACUGAUAUUAAAUUAUGUUUUUCUUGCAUCACAUAAAGUUUCUGCUAACUUGAUACCCGGUUUAUGAACCUAUUCUUAAGCUUGUAAUGAUGUUCUAAAUUGAUAUUAUAAAUUCUUUAUUAUUUUCGAAAUGUAAUUAUUUGAGAACAGUGUUCGUGAAGUUUUUAGGAGUUUCCAAGAAAAAAACUUACCGCAAUUUGGUUCAAUUUAGAUAAAAUAGUCCCACUUGAAUACAAAGUUUCUCUUUUCAUCUGUGGUCACGACUGAUGAAUCUGAGUUCUUUGGAGAAAUCCUGAUGGAUGGCUGAAGCUGAGCUCAUAAAACCGAAAGGUUGAAUUGUGCUCAGUGUGAUUUGGCUAAAUCACAGUCACGAUGUAAUAAAAGUAUCAGACUUUGUUUGAAUAUACACAAGGCACAUUUCAGACAAGUUACUAUUUAAUACUAUUUCAAUAAUAUUUCAACUGGAAUGCAUCAGAGUUCAACAGGAAAAAGUUUCAGAAGUUUUCAUAAAACAUACAGUGAGGAGGAGUCGCCACUGAUGUCUUUGUUAUAAAUUUACACAACAAUAUGACUCCUAACAUAAUCAUGGGAAACUUCAGUAGUGCACAACAGCAAUCACAUAGUUAUUUCACUUUCUGCGAUUGUCCUGUGCCAACUUGGAAUAAAAAGACUGAAAGAAAUACACAGAAAAAUAACACACACAAAGUAAUAAACUACUGCGAGGAACUUUUCCUCCCUUUUAUAUUGGAAUGUUCAACAACAUAAAGUACGUUAUUACAUGAAAUUUAAAUAAAUGAAACCGGAAAAAAUAAAGAAUAGAGUGCACUAUAGGAACAUGCAUGAUACAUUGUCUCUGCUGAUGUAAAAUAGACAGUAAUGCAAAGAACUUUUGGGACAUAACAAAGGUUUCUGCAUAACUCUCGUUGUUCAAAUGUCAUUUCUUCGCAAUGUUUCCAUAUGAAACUUUUUAAAACCCGUGGGCUAAACUAUAAAUAAAGUUUAUCACCUCUGUCUUAAUAGGAAAUGGCUGCACAUAAAACGUUACUACUGAGAUAACUUGUGAUGAUGCUUCUUGACAGACAGCGUGUAAUUUAUUCCAGGUUAACGUGUGUAUGUGUUCAGUGUGACAUAAGUUGUCACAUCACACUUGGCUGACAGGUUUUCUGCAGAAUGGCUGUGAAUUUGUGUGUGUGUGUGUGUGUGUGUGUGUGUGUGUGUGUGUGUGUGUGUGUGUGUGUGUGGUGCUUUCCCUCUCAAUAUGUCAAAUUGCAUGAGGAUGGAAAACUCACAUCAUCAGCAGCGAGAUGAACAAGCCACAGUUGUUCCAUUAAUUCAAAUCUGUCAGAAGUUAUGUUUAUAUCGUGUCUCCAUGCAAAACCUGACCUUCCCUGUAUGGAAAACACUCUUAAACAUUAACAAACAAUUCAAAUGAUGUGAAAUGACCUUUCUCUCCCGGUGGCCCACAGUCAUUACUCAGCCGAACACAUGCGUCUGUACGUGUGUGUGUGUGUGUGUGGGUGAGAGCAUGUGUGCGUCCAUGCCCAUGUGCAGAGCACCCACGAGGAGAUAUUUCAUUAGGCGAGGUGGUGAUUGUGUACUCUGCAGCAUAUAAACACUCGGCACAGUUUCCAGCUUGUAGUUAAAAUUCUGAAGUACGAUCAGCUGUCUGGAUGCUGCUGCUUCUCACUUCCCCUGCUGUGGCACGUUGACGAGGUUCACAAAUGUGUUGCGUGUGUGUGCGCGCGCGUCUGUGUGUGUUUCAGCAUGUGGUUCUGCUGUGUGUAGAGACUUUAGUUCAUUGGGAGUGUUCUCAUAACAGUGUGACAGCAAACCUUCCCCCGUUUGCUUGUUUCUCGAUUUAAGCAUGAAUAGCCAAUACAGUGUCACUGUUUGUGUGGAUUUUGUUUUUAUCUAUUGUUUAGUGUUUUGAAUAUUGAUAAUAAGUUUAAAAAAAAAAUUCUGAAAUUGCAGGAUUAGUUCUGGUCCAAACUUAUGUCGUCUCGUGGCCUCAAGGGUUCCAGAAACUGGAUAUUGGUUUUUGCUGUGCUCGAGGAUAUCCAUUAAAAUGAGCUUUAUUGGCACGAUUUAAGGCUGCAACUAUAAAUUUCAGUUAAUUUGGGGUGUAAUUCUGUCGCUUUGGAAAGGACUAACAGAAUAUGGGUUUUUUAAGAAAAGUUUAGAAUAACAGAAAAUGUCUGUUUGUAUUCACAAUCGUGUGUGUGUGUGUGUAUUGAUUUGAGAUGUUUGCAAGAACACAAGGAGACUCCUGAGAGUCAGGGGUCAACAGCUGCUCCCCAACAGCCAAUCAAUUGCAGUGUAUCACUACACACACACACUCGUGCGCGCGCGCACACACAAACACACACACACACACACACACACACACACACACACACACACACACACAUACACACACACACACACACACACACACAAAGACGGCACUCUGUUCUCAAAUCUGUUGCCAUGGAUACGAGAUACAGGCGGCCAAGGGGGAGCAGUUUUCCAGCUUAAACUGUAAAUAUUGAAUUAUGAUGGGGAGGAAAGAGACAGCAGUGCAGGGCAAUUCUCCUGCCUGGAUGAUCUAAAUAUCAGGAUAAUCCUUUCAUCUCUUUUCAUCGCUACAGGAAAUCUGGUGCAUCAUUCAUGUUCAUCAACUUCAACAUGAAAAGAUCAAUCUGUCUCACCGAUCCCCGCCAUUUAUCUUACUGCGUCUCACAGACUAAAAGCUACUCCCGUUCCUUCAGCUCUGCCUUUUUUGUGAGGAAGAUCUUCAUUCCCUCAAGUGGGGAGCCGAGUGAAUGCUUCCCCAUGUCUGAUGUGCAGUCAACUCAAACAUUGAAGCCACUUUACCAAAUACUACGGCUUUUAUGUGGCGACAGUUCCUCUGUGGUUUGAUCAACGGGGAGAGAGGAGAUUUAAAGAGUGCAGUGUUAAAAUAUACAAGGAGGAGCAAAAAAAAAAAAAAAAAUGAAUUAACAAUUAAUAAAA